RNAcentral lists this ribosomal RNA (253 nucleotides) under uncultured bacterium. Its description in RNAcentral is "partial 16S ribosomal RNA". It matches the Rfam family "Bacterial small subunit ribosomal RNA", at positions 524 to 776 of the family's 1533-position model. The record is from RNAcentral.
UACGUAGGGGGCAAGCGUUGUCCGGAAUCAUUGGGCGUAAAGCGCGCGUAGGCGGCCCGAUCAGUCCGCUGUAAAAGUCCAGGGCUCAACCCUGGAAAGCCGGUGGAUACUGUCGGGCUAGAGUCCGGAAGAGGCGAGUGGAAUUCCCGGUGUAGUGGUGAAAUGCGUAGAUAUCGGGAGGAACACCAGUGGCGAAGGCGACUACCUGGCCUGUUCUUGACGCUGAGGCGCGAAAGCUAGGGGAGCAAACGGG